RNAcentral lists this long non-coding RNA (1681 nucleotides) under Sus scrofa (pig). RNAcentral describes it as "lncRNA (ENSSSCG00055016660.1)". The record is from RNAcentral. Lineage: Eukaryota; Metazoa; Chordata; Mammalia; Artiodactyla; Suidae.
GUUUCAUACUGGCCUCACCAUGGAAUUUUUGCUGCCAGUGAUUUCCAAACUACACUGCAGCUCAGAAUCACUUAGUGAGCUUUGCGGAAACACCAUGAAGCCAAUUCCCAGGCCUGCUUUUGAUCCAUUGAUAGGUAGCCCUCUUUGCUUCUAGAGAUGGGAAUGACAGGGUGCCCCUUGUACCAUUUUUAGUUAGUUUGUCAAAAGUGACAUCACAUUGGCCCUGCGGCAAGUCUAGACGAUGCCAUCCUGUUGGUUCUGUGACAGAACUGCAGCGGGUCUCACUGGACAGGGGCCUUACCUCCUCACCUCACCCAUCAGCUUUCAGUGGGGAGACAAUGAGAAUAAAGUGUGUUCAGAGGGGCGGUCAGUCGUUGUUCAGGGACCAUGGGUUCAGAGACCUCUUUGCUUCUGCUGCUGAGCCAUGAGUUCCCGUCGUGGCUCAGGGGUUAACGAAUCUGACCAGGAACCGUGAGGUUGCAGGUUCGAUCCCUGGCCUUGCUCGGUGAGUUAAGGAUCUGGCGUUGAGCUGUGGUGUAUGUCACAGAUGUGGCUUGGAUCCCCCGUUGCUGUGGCCUUGGCAUAGGCUGGCGGCUAUAGCUCCGAUUAGACCCCUAGCCUGGGAACCUCCAUGUGCCCUGGGUGUGGCCCUAGAAAAGACAAAAAAGACAAAAAACAAAAGCAAAAACAAAAAAACCCAAAAAGGAACCUCCUAUGGAUAAAUAAUUCAUUCUGGAUUUUUUUUGUUUUGUUUUGUUUUUGAUUUUUCGGGCCAAACCCAUGGUAUAUGGAAGUUUCCAGGCCAGGGGUUGAAUCGGCUGCCGGCCUGCAACACGGGAUCCAAGCCGAGUCUGUGACCCUACGUCACAGCUCAUGGGCAAUGCCGGAUCCCCGACCCACUGACCGAGGCCAGGGAUUGAACCUGCAUCCUCAUGGAUGCUAGUCGGAUUCCUUUCCGCUGUGCCACAACGGAAACUCCCAGUUCCUUCUGGUGGUGUUCUUAGAAAGUAUUCUCUGGUGCACAUCCCCUUCUCACCUGCCCUUGGUUUUGCAAAGGAAGAUGCAGAAAUGCUCAGAUUAACAGCGUGUUUCUGAACCACCAAGAAAGGGAACAAAACGGUGCCAAGGCUCCAGGCAGCCACUCUGUGUCAGCUGCUGAUCUGAGGGUAUUUUGCAGGUCAUCUCAUCCAAUGGGCAACUAGUCCUAUGAAGAAGUGCUGUCACCCCAUUUUGGAGAUGUGGAAACAGAGGCAUAGGUUCGUUCCCUUAAUAUGCCCGAGGCCGCCCAGAAUCCAUGCUUUCAAGCUUUAGCCUUUGGUUGUUAACAUCACAUCCUGUGCUGCUGGGGAGGGAACAGGCCGUAGUCUGGAGGUCUUCAGAGGCACCAAGAGCCUGAGUAACCACCACUCUUUCUUAAUAAGAAUAGAAGCUCAGGAGUUCCUGUUGUAGUGCAGUGGUUAACGAAUCCGACUAGGAACCAUGAGGUUGCGGGUUUGAUCCCUGACCUUGCUCAGUGGGUUAAGGAUCCAGUGUUGCCGUGAGCUGUGGUGUAGGUUGCUGAGGCGGCUUGGAUCCCGUGUUGCUGUGGCUCUGGCCUAGGCUGGUGGCUGCAGCUCCGAUUUGACUCCUAGCCUGGGAACCUCCAUAUGCUGCGGGAGUGGCCCUAGAAAAGGCAAAAAGG